Molecule: long non-coding RNA, 651 nt
Filed under: Mus caroli (Ryukyu mouse)
Lineage: Eukaryota; Metazoa; Chordata; Mammalia; Rodentia; Muridae
Description: RIKEN cDNA D030025E07 gene (MGP_CAROLIEiJ_G0013653.1)
Source: RNAcentral
UGCUCAUUAGAAGUCCAAGUGAUUCCCACCACGGUUUGAGAGAGAGCUCGGAUUCCUUACCCAGAGGCUGACCAGAGCCCAUCCCCUCCUGGAGAAACGGAGAUAGCUCACCUUCUCCACACUCAAAAGAGCUGAGUGAAGUUACAUGACAUUUCCUAGGAAGCAAACUUAGUGGAACUUUAGAUGUGCCUGGGAACAGUGUCUUCAUGCGAGAUCUUCCCUGCUGAGGACUCUUGAUGCUGCAGAAGCAGGUAGACGCAGCUGUGCUUAGAAGGCAACAAGAUCUCCAGACAACAGACCCGGUGACAUCUCCAGGUGAUCUGAUCUCCUAUAGUGGGUCCCCAGUGGUGGCAUCUUAAAUGGCAUCAGGGAUGUAUCAAAACCUUCAAAACCCAAAACCAAGGCAGAAAGUUUCUGGAGAUGUGAGGAAGUACCCUUCCAAUGGUGAUGAAAGGGAGUGGAAAGGGUGAGAAGAAGAUGAUGUCAGAAGCAAGCAGCCUGGAGUACUGUCACUUUUCCAUGGCCAGUCUAUUCUCUUCAAACCUAUCUUAUACAUUGGCUUUGGUUACUGGAGGGCAAAAAAAAGGAUCAACCAUUCUAUUUGUUGGGGGGGGGUAUUUUUCUCUUCACAAUCAUUAGCAUCGCUGAACA